RNAcentral lists this ribosomal RNA (364 nucleotides) under uncultured bacterium. RNAcentral describes it as "bacterial SSU rRNA". It matches the Rfam family "Bacterial small subunit ribosomal RNA", at positions 29 to 424 of the family's 1533-position model. The record is from RNAcentral.
AACGAACGCUGGCGGCAGGCCUAAUACAUGCAAGUCGAACGCACCGCAAGGUGAGUGGCAGACGGGUGAGUAACGCGUGGGAACCUUCCUAGUAGUACGGAAUAACUCCGGGAAACCGGUGCUAAUACCGUAUAAGCCCUCCGGGGGAAAGAUUUAUCGCUACUAGAUGGGCCCGCGUCGGAUUAGCUUGUUGGUGAGGUAAUGGCUCACCAAGGCUUCGAUCCGUAGCUGGUCUGAGAGGACGANCAGCCACACUGGGACUGAGACACGGCCCAGACUCCUACGGGAGGGCAGCAGUAGGGAAUCUUGCGCAAUGGGCGAAAGCCUGACGCAGCGACGCCGCGUGAGGGAUGACGGCCUGGUU